UAGGGAAUCUUCGGCAAUGGACGAAAGUCUGACCGAGCAACGCCGCGUGAGUGAAGAAGGUUUUCGGAUCGUAAAACUCUGUUGUUAGAGAAGAACAAGGAUGAGAGUAAAAUGUUCAUCCCUUGACGGUAUCUAACCAGAAAGCCACGGCUAACUACGUGCCAGCAGCCGCGGUAAUACGUAGGUGGCAAGCGUUGUCCGGAUUUAUUGGGCGUAAAGCGAGCGCAGGCGGUUUCUUAAGUCUGAUGUGAAAGCCCCCGGCUCAACCGGGGAGGGUCAUUGGAAACUGGGAGACUUGAUGCAGAAGAGGAGAGUGGAAUUCCAUGUGUAGCGGUGAAAUGCGUAGAUAUAUGGAGGAACACCAGUGGCGAAGGCGGCUCUCUGGUCUGUAACUGACGCUGAGGCUCG
RNAcentral lists this ribosomal RNA (408 nucleotides) under uncultured bacterium. RNAcentral describes it as "partial 16S ribosomal RNA". It matches the Rfam family "Bacterial small subunit ribosomal RNA", at positions 355 to 755 of the family's 1533-position model. The record is from RNAcentral.